This 73-nucleotide transfer RNA is filed under the name Stegodyphus mimosarum. It matches the Rfam family "tRNA". Rfam says of the family: Transfer RNA (tRNA) molecules are approximately 80 nucleotides in length. Their secondary structure includes four short double-helical elements and three loops (D, anti-codon, and T loops). Further hydrogen bonds mediate the characteristic L-shaped molecular structure. tRNAs have two regions of fundamental functional importance: the anti-codon, which is responsible for specific mRNA codon recognition, and the 3' end, to which the tRNAs corresponding amino acid is attached (by aminoacyl-tRNA synthetases). tRNAs cope with the degeneracy of the genetic code in two manners: having more than one tRNA (with a specific anti-codon) for a particular amino acid; and 'wobble' base-pairing, i.e. permitting non-standard base-pairing at the 3rd anti-codon position. The record is from Rfam by way of RNAcentral. Lineage: Eukaryota; Metazoa; Arthropoda; Arachnida; Araneae; Eresidae.
CCCUUCGUGUUGUAAUGGUCAACACACUCGGCGCAUAUUCGAGAGGUCCGAGGUUCGAGUCCCGGCGAGGGCA